CCUACGGGAGGCAGCAGUAGGGAAUUUUCGUCAAUGGGCGCAAGCCUGAACGAGCGAUGCCGCGUGAGUGAAGAAGGCCCUCGGGUCGGUAAGCUCUGUUUCGGGGGAAAAAGGCAGCAUCAGGAAUUGGGUGCUGACUGAUGGUGCCCCGCCAGAAAGUCACGGCUAACUACGUGCCAGCAGCCGGGGUAAUACGUAGGUGGCGGGCGUUCACCGGGAUGAUGGGGCGUAAAGGGUGCGCAGGCGGUACUGCAAGGCUGGAGUGAAACGCAUGGGCUCAACUCAGGCAUGGCUUUGGAAACUGGAGGACUGGAGAGCGGGAGAGGGCGGUGGAACUCGAUGUGUAGCGGUAAAAUGCGUAGAUAUAUGGAAGAACACCAGUGGCGAAGGCAGCAGCCUGGCCUGUUGCUGACGCUGAGGCACGAAAGCGUGGGGAGCAAAUAGGAUUAGAUACCCGGGUAGUC
This 464-nucleotide ribosomal RNA is filed under the name uncultured bacterium. RNAcentral describes it as "partial 16S ribosomal RNA". It matches the Rfam family "Bacterial small subunit ribosomal RNA", at positions 338 to 795 of the family's 1533-position model. The record is from RNAcentral.